AUUGAACGCUGGCGGCAGGCCUAACACAUGCAAGUCGAGCGGAUGAAGGGAGCUUGCUCCUGGAUUCAGCGGCGGACGGGUGAGUAAUGCCUAGGAAUCUGCCUGGUAGUGGGGGAUAACGUCCGGAAACGGGCGCUAAUACCGCAUACGUCCUGAGGGAGAAAGUGGGGGAUCUUCGGACCUCACGCUAUCAGAUGAGCCUAGGUCGGAUUAGCUAGUUGGUGGAGUAAAGGCCUACCAAGGCGACGAUCCGUAACUGGUCUGAGAGGAUGAUCAGUUACACUGGAACUGAGACACGGUCCAGACUCCUACGGGAGGCAGCAGUGGGGAAUAUUGGACAAUGGGCGAAAGCCUGAUCCAGCCAUGCCGCGUGUGUGAAGAAGGUCUUCGGAUUGUAAAGCACUUUAAGUUGGGAGGAAGGGCAGUAAGUUAAUACCUUGCUGUUUUGACGUUACCAACAGAAUAAGCACCGGCUAACUUCGUG
This 484-nucleotide ribosomal RNA is filed under the name uncultured bacterium. RNAcentral describes it as "partial 16S ribosomal RNA". It matches the Rfam family "Bacterial small subunit ribosomal RNA", at positions 30 to 507 of the family's 1533-position model. The record is from RNAcentral.